RNAcentral lists this ribosomal RNA (600 nucleotides) under uncultured bacterium. Its description in RNAcentral is "bacterial SSU rRNA". The stretch from base 1 to 459 matches the Rfam family "Bacterial small subunit ribosomal RNA", at positions 85 to 537 of the family's 1533-position model. The record is from RNAcentral.
CUGGCGGCGAGCGGCGAACGGGUGAGUAAUGCUUCGGAAUCUGCCCUUCAGUGGGGAAUAACCAGUCGAAAGACUGGCUAAUACCGCAUACGAACUGAGGUUGAAAGCAGGGGAUCGCAAGACCUUGCGCUGAUGGAUGAGCCGAAGUCGGAUUCGCUAGUUGGUAGGGUAACGGCCUACCAAGGCGACGAUCCGUAGCUGGUCUGAGAGGACGACCAGCCACACUGGGACUGAGACACGGCCCAACUCCUAAGGGAGGCAGCANUGGGGAAUAUUGGACAAUGGGGGCAACCUGAUCCAGCGACGCCGAGUGUGUGAAGAAGGACUGCGGGUUGUAAAGUACUUACAGUACNGGAGAGGAAGGUGUCACAGGUUAAUAANCUUGGCAAUUGAAGUUAACGAAGAAGAAGCAACGGCUAAGAUCCGNGCCAGAGAGACGCGGUAAUACGGAGGGUGNAAAGNNGUUAAUAGGAAGUUACUGGGAGCGUAAAAAGAGCACCGAAAAGGAGGAAGAUUGGAGNUCGGNAUGUUGNAAAGAAUAAAGACNCGGAGAGGAAUUUUAAAACCAACGGGGGGGAAAUUGUGACAAUUCGAUGGAAU